UGGGGAAUAUUGGACAAUGGGCGCAAGCCUGAUCCAGCCAUGCCGCGUGCGGGAAGAAGGCCUUCGGGUUGUAAACCGCUUUUGUCAGGGAAGAAACGCUCUGGGCUAAUACCCUGGGGUAAUGACGGUACCUGAAGAAUAAGCACCGGCUAACUACGUGCCAGCAGCCGCGGUAAUACGUAGGGUGCAAGCGUUAAUCGGAAUUACUGGGCGUAAAGCGUGCGCAGGCGGUUAUGCAAGACAGAUGUGAAAUCCCCGGGCUCAACCUGGGAACUGCAUUUGUGACUGUAUAGCUAGAGUACGGUAGAGGGGGAUGGAAUUCCGCGUGUAGCAGUGAAAUGCGUAGAUAUGCGGAGGAACACCGAUGGCGAAAGCGGCUCUCUGGCUUGUAACUGACGCUGAGGCUCGAAAGCGUGGGGAGCGAAACAGGAUUAGAUACCCUAGUAGUCCCUGAGCGGGCUGGCAAGGCGCAU
RNAcentral lists this ribosomal RNA (473 nucleotides) under uncultured bacterium. RNAcentral describes it as "bacterial SSU rRNA". It matches the Rfam family "Bacterial small subunit ribosomal RNA", at positions 355 to 825 of the family's 1533-position model. The record is from RNAcentral.